This 3054-nucleotide ribosomal RNA is filed under the name Trichinella pseudospiralis. Its description in RNAcentral is "eukaryotic LSU rRNA". It matches the Rfam family "Eukaryotic large subunit ribosomal RNA", at positions 723 to 3205 of the family's 3401-position model. The record is from RNAcentral. Lineage: Eukaryota; Metazoa; Nematoda; Enoplea; Trichinellida; Trichinellidae.
UCUUAAUAAUAUUUUGGACGCGCAGUGUUGUGCCGUUGAACAGUCGCACUGUUUGUCCAUCUCUCACGGGUUGGAGAAACAAUUGUCGAUCAGUCGGUUUCGGAGCGUGCACACUGGUACCCGAAAGAUGGUGAACUAUGCUUGAGCAGAAUGAAGCCAGAGGAAACUCUGGUGGAAGUUCGUAGCGGUGUUGACGUGCAAAUCACUCGUCUGACUUGAGUGUAGGGGCGAAAGACUAAUCGAACCAUCUAGUUGCUGGUUCCUUCCGAAGUUUCCCUCAGGAUAGCUGGCAUUUGUGUGUAACAAUUUUAUCCGGUAGAGCGAAUGAUUAGAGGUGUUGGGAACGCAAUGUUCUCAGCCUAUUCUCAAACUUCGAAUGGGUAAGCAAGGCGAUUUGCUUUGAUCUGUUGAUGAAAUCGCCCAACUUUUUUGUGUUGAAGAAUGUAUAAAUGCCUAGUGGGCCAAUUUUGGUAAGCAGAACUGGCGAUGUGGAAUGAACCAAAAGUCAGGUUAAGGUGCCAGACAUUGGCGCUCAUGAAAUACCAGAAAAGGUGUUGGUCGAUAUAGACAGCAGGACGGUGGCCAUGGAAGUUGGAAUCCGCCAAGGAGUGUGUAACAACUCACCUGCCGAAUCGACUAGCCCUGAAAAUGGAUAGCGUUUGAGCGCCAGGCCCAUACCUGACCGUCUCAGUUACGCACUUUUGUUGUUUCAAUGAUGAAGGUGUAAUGAACGUUGAGACGGGUAGGAAGGUCGCGACAGUGUUGCUUUGAAGAGUUUUGAGCGUGAGCUCGCUCGGAGCCGCUGUUGGUGCAGAUCUUGGUGGUAGUAGCAAAUAUUCAAGUGAGAACCUUGAAGGCUGAAGUGGAGCAAGGUUCCAUGUGAACAGCAGUUGGACAUGGGUCAGUCGAUCCUAAGAAAACGGCGAAAGCUUGUUCGAAUUUACGACAUAAAAAAUGUAAAACUGUGUGUGUGUAGUGUGCUUGUGUGUGUACUAUACUGAUAUAGCAGUAGUGGUGGUGGUGGUUUGUCAGUCAGCAGUGUAGUGUUUGUCUGUGGCAGUGCUGCUGCUGCUGCUGCUGCUGCUGCUGCUAUUGUUUACUUGCUGUUGUUGUGUGUUGUUGUACACACACACCCACACAAUUCUGUGUGCAGUUGUCGUAUGUUUUCGAAAGGGAAUCCGGUUGAUAUUCCGGAACCGAGUAACGGAGACAAAGAGUAGCGCUUUAAUCUUCCGGUUGGCGUUCAACUCAAUCGCGCGGUAACGCAAGCGAACUCGGAAAAUGACCGUCGUGAGUUUCGAAAAGAGUUUUCUUUUCUUUUUAAGGGACGCAUUCCCUGGAACCGGGUUGUCCGGAGAUAGGGAUUCUGGUAUCCAUAAAACGCCGACUCUUUCACGGUGUUCGGAGCGCUCUCGUCGGUACGUGAAAAUCCGAGCGACGCCUGGUAAAUCUCGUACUUGGUCGUACUGAUAUCCGCAGCAGGUCUCCAAGGUGAAUAGCCUCUGGCCGAUAGAAUAAUGUAGGUAAGGGAAGUCGGCAAAACGGAUCCGUAACUUCGGAACAAGGAUUGGCUCUAAGGGCUGGGCCGAUCGGGCUGAGGUUUCAAGCGUGCAGUGUAUGCUUGGCUGAGUUGUGUUGAGGACUUGUUCACUUGCCGCCGUUUGUUCGGUUGGUCUAGUGUAUUCGAGUCUGAAGCAGAGCUGGCCGACAGACCGGCACGUGCAGAACCUGAGCUGCGCGGCUGUCAGUUUAUUUGUACAGACCGUUUCGGUCGGCAUUCAACAGCCAACUUAGAACUGGCACGGACACAAGGAAUCUGACUGUAUAAUUAAAACAAAGCAUUGCGAUGGCCGAUGAUCGGUGUUGACGCAAUGUGAUUUCUGCCCAGUGCUCUGAAUGUCAAAGUGAAGAAAUUCAACCAAGCGCGGGUAAACGGCGGGAGUAACUAUGACUCUCUUAAGGUAGCCAAAUGCCUCGUCAUCUAAUUAGUGACGCGUAUGAAUGGAUCAACAAGAUUCCUUCUGUCCCUAUCUACUAUCUAGCGAAACCACAGCCAAGGGAACGGGCUUGGCAAAAUCAGCGGGGAAAGAAGACCCUGUUGAGCUUGACUCUAGUCUGACUCUGUGAAGAGACAUGAAAGGUGUAGCAUAGGUGGGAGGCUGCAGCCGGGCACUGCUUGCGCGGUGUCUCUGUGGUCGCCAAUGAAAUACCACUACUUUGAUCGUUUCUUUACUUAUUCGGUAAAGCGAAAAAAUUGUGGCCAAUUUUGCGGUCUCGCCGCUGUUGGUCAUUGUUUUAAUGUUGGAUUGAAGCUUCGUUUGUAGCCGUCGUUUUGUGUCGCCGUUUGACGUGCAUUCGCAGUGGUGUGGGUUUCUUGGCUCGCGCGCGGCUAGUGUCGUCAACAGCGGACGACCGGCGAUUGGUUUGAAGUGAUUCGCUCCGGAAACAGUGUCAGACGGGGAGUUUGACUGGGGCGGUACAUCUGUUAAACGAUAACGCAGGUGUCCUAAGGUAAGCUCAGCGAGGACAGAAACCUCGCCUAGAGUAAACGGGCACAAGCUUACUUGAUUUUGAUUUCCAGUACGAAUAAAAACCGCGAAAGCGUGGCCUAUCGAUCCUUUUGAUUGUGUAGAUUUCACGCAAGAGGUGUCAGAAAAGUUACCACAGGGAUAACUGGCUUGUGGCAGCCAAGCGUCCAUAGCGACGUUGCUUUUUGAUCCUUCGAUGUCGGCUCUUCCUAUCAUUGCGAAGCAGAAUUCGCCAAGCGUUGGAUUGUUCACCCACCAAUAGGGAACGUGAGCUGGGUUUAGACCGUCGUGAGACAGGUUAGUUUUACCCUACUGAUGACAAGUCGUUGCGAUAGUAAUCCUGCUCAGUACGAGAGGAACCGCGGGAUCAGACAUUUGGUUCAUGCGCUCGGCUGAAAGGCCGGUGGCGCGAAGCUAGCAUCUGCAAGAUUAUGACUGAACGCCUCUAAGUCAGAAUCUUUUCUAGUCAUUGGCAACGAUAAGUUGCGUCCGGACUCGAUGCGAGGAAACGACUAGGCUUUGUUGU